RNAcentral lists this ribosomal RNA (253 nucleotides) under uncultured bacterium. RNAcentral's name for it is "partial 16S ribosomal RNA". It matches the Rfam family "Bacterial small subunit ribosomal RNA", at positions 524 to 776 of the family's 1533-position model. The record is from RNAcentral.
UACGUAGGUGGCAAGCGUUGUCCGGAAUUAUUGGGCGUAAAGCGCGCGCAGGCGGUCCUUUAAGUCUGAUGUGAAAGCCCACGGCUCAACCGUGGAGGGUCAUUGGAAACUGGGGGACUUGAGUACAGAAGAGAAGAGUGGAAUUCCACGUGUAGCGGUGAAAUGCGUAGAGAUGUGGAGGAACACCAGUGGCGAAGGCGACUACCUGGCCUGUUCUUGACGCUGAGGCGCGAAAGCUAGGGGAGCAAACGGG